RNAcentral lists this ribosomal RNA (468 nucleotides) under uncultured bacterium. RNAcentral's name for it is "partial 16S ribosomal RNA". It matches the Rfam family "Bacterial small subunit ribosomal RNA", at positions 28 to 507 of the family's 1533-position model. The record is from RNAcentral.
GACGAACGCUGGCGGCGUGCUUAACACAUGCAAGUCGAACGGAAAGACCCUGCUUUUGUGGGGUGCUCGAGAGGCGAACGGGGGUGUAACACGUGAGUAACACGCACUUGAAUUUGGGAGAACAUCAGGAAACAGGGGCGAAUACCGCAUAGAAGAUUCUGCUGCACGGGGGGGGAUGGAAAAUUUCGGCUGUUGGGGAUUGACUAGCGGCUUAUCAGCUUGUUGGGGGGGUAGGGGCUUACAAAGGUUUUGAAGGGUAGCCGGCCUUGGAGGGUGGCCGGCCACAUUGGGCCUGAGGUACGGCCCAGUCUCCUACGGGAGGCAGUAGUGGGGAAUAUUGCACAAUGGGCGGAAGCCUGUUGCAGCAACGCCGCGUGCGGGAUGACGGCCUUCGGGUUGUAAACCGCUUUCGCCUGUGACGAAGCGUGAGUGACGGUAAUGGGUAAAGAAGCACCGGCUAACUACGUG